Molecule: small nucleolar RNA, 104 nt
Organism: Rosa chinensis
Lineage: Eukaryota; Viridiplantae; Streptophyta; Magnoliopsida; Rosales; Rosaceae
Product: small nucleolar RNA snoR137
Exons: 1
Source: RefSeq, a predicted model, not a curated record
GUUGCUUCUUAAUAUGAACUCCCUGUAAGUUUUGAUUGAUUUGGGGAUGUUCAAGUUUUAAAAGUAUAGAUAAAUUGCCAGUAUUAAACAGUACUGUUGUGCUU